Molecule: non-coding RNA, 56 nt
Organism: Dipodomys ordii (Ord's kangaroo rat)
Lineage: Eukaryota; Metazoa; Chordata; Mammalia; Rodentia; Heteromyidae
Source: Rfam
UAGUCCAAUGAGUCAUUGCUAUUUACCUCUGCCUUAAGGGUUGUGACCCUUGAUCA